CCAGAGGCCGUUUGUCCAAGUCACGUGAUCGUCGAAUCUGUUGACCUGGCGCCACCGGAAAAAGAAAUUCCCGGGCCCUGGCUUCUUGGCCUGAUGGUGCUAAAGUGGAGGGCCUCCCAUGGGGUGUUCAGCCUGGGUGUGUAGAAGCACACAGUGUGGUACAGAGGACCCUCUCCAGACAGGUGACCCCUCAUGCUGCUGCUCCCUCUGCUGAAACCCAAACUGCAAACCUCUCCUCUCCCUGCCUUCACCUUGCCCCACGGCUUCCACAGACAGUGCCUCAACCCCGAGGAAUGAAUCCGAAGUUCCAACACCACUGACUUUCCCAGGAACUCAGAGCCAGAGAGGGCCAAGGACCAGCUCGAGGACACACAGCCAGGGCUUCUUCCCUCCGAAACCCCCAAGGACUGGACUUGCAGGGCUGGGACAGAGGUGGGGUGGGGGAAAGCAAUGCCUUGUCAACCCACGUGGGGAGCCCCACUCCCAUCCCCAAGGUGCAUAAAGUUGAGGAACACCCCUG
RNAcentral lists this long non-coding RNA (520 nucleotides) under Homo sapiens (human). Its description in RNAcentral is "HSALNT0382368". Lineage: Eukaryota; Metazoa; Chordata; Mammalia; Primates; Hominidae. The record is from RNAcentral.